This 74-nucleotide transfer RNA is filed under the name Alicycliphilus denitrificans. RNAcentral's name for it is "tRNA-Cys". It matches the Rfam family "tRNA". From Rfam's summary of the family: Transfer RNA (tRNA) molecules are approximately 80 nucleotides in length. Their secondary structure includes four short double-helical elements and three loops (D, anti-codon, and T loops). Further hydrogen bonds mediate the characteristic L-shaped molecular structure. tRNAs have two regions of fundamental functional importance: the anti-codon, which is responsible for specific mRNA codon recognition, and the 3' end, to which the tRNAs corresponding amino acid is attached (by aminoacyl-tRNA synthetases). tRNAs cope with the degeneracy of the genetic code in two manners: having more than one tRNA (with a specific anti-codon) for a particular amino acid; and 'wobble' base-pairing, i.e. permitting non-standard base-pairing at the 3rd anti-codon position. RNAcentral also lists the same sequence under 9 other names. The record is from RNAcentral. Lineage: Bacteria; Pseudomonadati; Pseudomonadota; Betaproteobacteria; Burkholderiales; Comamonadaceae.
GGCGCGGUAGCAAAGCGGUUAUGCGUCGGAUUGCAAAUCCGUUGAGGCCGGUUCGACUCCGGCCCGCGCCUCCA